AACGAACGCUGGCGGCAGGCCUAACACAUGCAAGUCGAGCGAGGACUUCGGUCCUAGCGGCGGACGGGUGAGUAACGCGUGGGAACGUGCCCUUUGCUUCGGAAUAGCCCUGGGAAACUGGGAGUAAUACCGGAUGAGCCCUUUGGGGGAAAGAUUUAUCGGCGAAGGAUCGGCCCGCGUUGGAUUAGGUAGUUGGUGGGGUAAUGGCCUACCAAGCCGACGAUCCAUAGCUGGUUUGAGAGGAUGAUCAGCCACACUGGGACUGAGACACGGCCCAGACUCCUACGGGAGGCAGCAGUGGGGAAUCUUAGACAAUGGGGGGAAACCCUGAUCUAGCCAUGCCGCGUGAGCGAUGAAGGCCUUAGGGUUGUAAAGCUCUUUCAGCUGGGAAGAUAAUGACGGUACCAGCAGAAGAAGCCCCGGCUAACUCCGUG
Molecule: ribosomal RNA, 434 nt
Filed under: uncultured bacterium
Lineage: Bacteria
Description: partial 16S ribosomal RNA
Rfam family: Bacterial small subunit ribosomal RNA
Source: RNAcentral